GGCCAGACUCCUACGGGAGGCAGCAGUGGGGAAUAUUGCACAAUGGAGGAAACCCUGAUGCAGCGACGCCGCGUGAGCGAUGAAGUAUUUCGGUAUGUAAAGCUCUAUCAGCAGGGAAGAAAAUGACGGUACCUGACUAAGAAGCCCCGGCUAACUACGUGCCAGCAGCCGCGGUAAUACGUAGGGGGCAAGCGUUAUCCGGAUUUACUGGGUGUAAAGGGAGCGUAGGCGGCCAUGCAAGUCAGAAGUGAAAACCCGGGGCUCAACCCUGGGAGUGCUUUUGAAACUGUGCGGCUAGAGUGUCGGAGGGGUAAGUGGAAUUCCCAGUGUAGCGGUGAAAUGCGUAGAUAUUAGGAGGAACACCAGUGGCGAAGGCGGCUUACUGGACGAUGACUGACGCUGAGGCUCGAAAGCGUGGGGAGCAAACAGGAUUAGAUACCCUAGUA
Molecule: ribosomal RNA, 446 nt
Filed under: uncultured bacterium
Lineage: Bacteria
Description: bacterial SSU rRNA
Rfam family: Bacterial small subunit ribosomal RNA
Source: RNAcentral